CACUCCUACGGGAGGCAGCAGUGGGGAAUAUUGCACAAUGGGCGCAAGCCUGAUGCAGCCAUGCCGCGUGUAUGAAGAAGGCCUUCGGGUUGUAAAGUACUUUCAGCGGGGAGGAAGGCAAUACGGUUAAUAACCGUGUUGAUUGACGUUACCCGCAGAAGAAGCACCGGCUAACUCCGUGCCAGCAGCCGCGGUAAUACGGAGGGUGCAAGCGUUAAUCGGAAUUACUGGGCGUACAGCGCACGCAGGCGGUCUGUCAAGUCGGAUGUGAAAUCCCCGGGCUCAACCUGGGAACUGCAUUCGAAACUGGCAGGCUUGAGUCUUGUAGAGGGGGGUAGAAUUCCAGGUGUAGCGGUGAAAUGCGUAGAGAUCUGGAGGAAUACCGGUGGCGAAGGCGGCCCCCUGGACAAAGACUGACGCUCAGGUGCGAAAGCGUGGGGAGCAAACAGGAUUAGAAACCCUUGUAGUCCC
Molecule: ribosomal RNA, 471 nt
Filed under: uncultured organism
Description: partial 16S ribosomal RNA
Rfam family: Bacterial small subunit ribosomal RNA
Source: RNAcentral